This 468-nucleotide ribosomal RNA is filed under the name uncultured bacterium. RNAcentral's name for it is "partial 16S ribosomal RNA". It matches the Rfam family "Bacterial small subunit ribosomal RNA", at positions 28 to 507 of the family's 1533-position model. The record is from RNAcentral.
GACGAAUGCUGGCGGCGUGCUUAACACAUGCAAGUCGAACGGAAAGGCCCUGCUUUUGUGGGGUGCUCGAGUGGCGAACGGGUGAGUAACACGUGAGUAACCUGCCCUUGACUUUGGGAUAACUUCAGGAAACUGGGGCUAAUACCGGAUAGGAGCUCCUGCUGCAUGGUGGGGGUUGGAAAGUUUCGGCGGUUGGGGAUGGACUCGCGGCUUAUCAGCUUGUUGGUGGGGUAGUGGCUUACCAAGGCUUUGACGGGUAGCCGGCCUGAGAGGGUGACCGGCCACAUUUGGACUGAGAUACGGCCCAGACUCCUACGGGAGGCAGCAGUGGGGAAUAUUGCACAAUGGGCGGAAGCCUGAUGCAGCAACGCCGCGUGCGGGAUGACGGCCUUCGGGUUGUAAACCGCUUUCGCCUGUGACGAAGCGUGAGUGACGGUAAUGGGUAAAGAAGCACCGGCUAACUACGUG